AGGGAAUCUUCCGCAAUGGACGAAAGUCUGACGGAGCAACGCCGCGUGAGUGAUGAAGGUUUUCGGAUCGUAAAACUCUGUUGUUAGGGAAGAACAAGUAUCGUUCGAAUAGGGCGGUACCUUGACGGUACCUAACCAGAAAGCCACGGCUAACUACGUGCCAGCAGCCGCGGUAAUACGUAGGUGGCAAGCGUUGUCCGGAAUUAUUGGGCGUAAAGCGCGCGCAGGCGGUCUUUUAAGUCUGAUGUGAAAGCCCACGGCUCAACCGUGGAGGGUCAUUGGAAACUGGGAGGCUUGAGUGCAGAAGAGGAGAGUGGAAUUCCACGUGUAGCGGUGAAAUGCGUAGAGAUGUGGAGGAACACCAGUGGCGAAGGCGGCUCUCUGGUCUGUAACUGACGCUGAGGCGCGAAAGCGUGGGGAGCAAAC
Molecule: ribosomal RNA, 426 nt
Filed under: uncultured bacterium
Lineage: Bacteria
Description: bacterial SSU rRNA
Rfam family: Bacterial small subunit ribosomal RNA
Source: RNAcentral